AGCUCAGUGGUAGAGCACUUGCCUUGCAUGCAUGAAGCCCUGGGUUCGAUUCCUCAG
Molecule: transfer RNA, 57 nt
Filed under: Dipodomys ordii (Ord's kangaroo rat)
Lineage: Eukaryota; Metazoa; Chordata; Mammalia; Rodentia; Heteromyidae
Rfam family: tRNA
About the family: Transfer RNA (tRNA) molecules are approximately 80 nucleotides in length. Their secondary structure includes four short double-helical elements and three loops (D, anti-codon, and T loops). Further hydrogen bonds mediate the characteristic L-shaped molecular structure. tRNAs have two regions of fundamental functional importance: the anti-codon, which is responsible for specific mRNA codon recognition, and the 3' end, to which the tRNAs corresponding amino acid is attached (by aminoacyl-tRNA synthetases). tRNAs cope with the degeneracy of the genetic code in two manners: having more than one tRNA (with a specific anti-codon) for a particular amino acid; and 'wobble' base-pairing, i.e. permitting non-standard base-pairing at the 3rd anti-codon position.
Source: Rfam by way of RNAcentral